RNAcentral lists this ribosomal RNA (468 nucleotides) under uncultured bacterium. RNAcentral describes it as "partial 16S ribosomal RNA". It matches the Rfam family "Bacterial small subunit ribosomal RNA", at positions 28 to 507 of the family's 1533-position model. The record is from RNAcentral.
GACGAACGCUGGCGGCGUGCUUAACACAUGCAAGUCGAACGGUGAGACGCCAGCUUGCUGGAGUGGAUCAGUGCCGAACGGGUGAGUAACACGUGAGCAACCUGCCCCUGACUCUGGGAUAAGCGCUGGGAACGGCGUCUAAUACUGGAUACGAGAUCAAGCAGCAUGUGGAUGAUUUGGAAAAUUUGUCGGUUCUGGAUGGGAUCGAGGCCUAUCCGCUUGUUGGGGAGGUAGUGGAUCACCAAGGCUACGAAGGGUAGCCGGCCUGGGAGGUCGACCGGGCACACUGGGACUGAGACACGGCCCAGAAUGCAACGGGAGGCAGCAGUGGGGAAUAUUGCACAACGGGCGAAAGCCUAAGGCAGCGACGCCGCGUGCGGGAUGACGGCCUUCUGGGUGUAAACCUCUUUCUGCGGGGAAGAAGCGAAAGUGACGGUACCUGCAGAAGAAGCACCGGCUAACUACGUG